AUCGAACAAAUCGAUCAAUCGGCGAACGGCGAACGGCGGCGGCGACUUGGUGGCCGGUUGGCACCUUGUUGAUCUUCCUCCUCCCUACCUUCCUUCUUCCUCUACCUUCUAGAAGUUUCUAGCAUCUUCCUCCACUUGUAUUCCCUUAGUUCAUCCUCGUUUUCCACCUCUAUGUACUGGAGUUUGGUUGCUAUUGCACUGGAUGCUUGCAAAUUUGAGUGGUAUUGAGAUUGGAGUUUGGGGUUCCUAACAAUCUGGUAUCAGAGCUGUUCGGUUCACUGGGAUUCUUGUCAUGGAGGUGUUGGGGAGGCAGCCAUGUAAGAGGGAACAGGAAUUGGGUUGGGAAGGUUUUCAUCCAAGCAGCGUCCACCAACUGUUCGAUGGAAUGCCAAGCCAACCUGAGAUGACCAAGGAAGAUCAGAGGAUAUCUAAGCAUGUUCCCAUCAAUUCCAUUAUGAACAAAGAGGAGAAAUGGCUAGAUGAAGCUCUGGAUCGGAUAUUGGAGAAGGUUGAGCAAAUUGAGACCAAGCGUAGGUGUGAGGAGAAGAUUGAUCUGAUUUUGGAGAAGUUGAAUGAGGUAGAAGCUAACAGGAGCAAGUUCUUCAAGGAGAUGAGCACCUCCAUCAAGGCAACAGUUGCUGUCCUCGAGGCUGCAUCAUAUCCUCCACUCCAGGACCCACCUUCUUCGACGCCCACCACCUGUUCGACGGCGUGCCCCAAUAGCGGCAUCACUUGGGUAAUGAGGGGUUCAAGUCGCAGCGAUGAGGACACCACUCCGAUGGUCGCCAUGGAGCUAGGAGACAACAAGGACAAGGAACAAGCUCCCUAUAUUGUCACCAAGGACCUCCUCAAGGUCACGCCCACCAAGUGUUCGACGAAAUGUUCUAGCUUCAACACCAAGCCCGAUCCCAUUGUGGCUGCUGUGGUUACUUGCGCCACCUCUAUUGAGUCAUCAAUGGAGUUGGUAGCUACUGACAGCACCACCGGCGGCACCCACAUCGACACCCCUCACAGUACCAAGGCGACGCUCGCCAAGUGUUCGACGGUUGGCCUCGACGUCAAUGGUGGCACUAGGAAGGUUGUGGUAGUGUUCCCGACCAUUAUAGGUGUGUCCAAAACUGUUCCAGCAUCUCUUGUUUCAUUGGACGUUGUGCAAGUGGUGCAGGGUGUAGACUUGGCUAUGGAUACAAAAGCAAAAGCUACCGUCAUCUCGGAAAUGCAUGCCAACUGUUUAGAGCUGAGCCAUGGUGUCCAUACUAGGAAUCCUGAUGUCUUGUCAAUACCAAUAUCUGAAAUGGCCAGUGUCAAGGCUGCUAACAACAUCACCAUCGAACCAGUGGUUCAGUAUGUUAAUAAAGAGCUGGACAAGGCAUCCAAUAGGGAUAAAGGGGCCAAAGGCAACAGAGGUAUGGUGGUGGCUGAUCAUUUCCAACUGUGGCCAUCUCCUUAUCAGCUUUAUUGUGAAUAUUCUCGCACUGAGCAGCAACCAUGGCCACCGCCUACUCAAGCAGGAGACAUUGGUUGUCAAGUUGCGCUGCGACGAGUGCUAGGGUCAUCAUCCAAAUGCAGCCAAGGUGACUUGUUGCCGGUGACACCACCAGGGCCACUGAUAAUAGGAAAAUUGCAUAACUCGAGGAGCCGUUCUGCUGGAAUCACAGCUGAAGCAGUACUAUCAAUUGUUGAGUCUCAUGCAAUAUCUUUACACUGUACAAUUUCCAAGUCAAUGUGCAUGGCACUUAAUUUUGUUGAGAGCUGGCUACAAAACACAGCCAAGAAAUUAUACAAUGGUCAGUUGCUUAACCUUUCAGCUGGGAUACAUUUUGGUGACAGAAGGAUUUCUACUACAGUGUUUUUUGCUGAGUUGCUUGAGCACCCAACAAUACAUUUUCAGAUUUACUUAACUGCUUUUCACUGUGUUCAUUCAAACAAAAUCCUGAGACCAUGGAUUAUUGCUACAGCUGCUAAUGAGAAGCUGAACAAGAAGGUCAAGAGAUUUGGUUAUGAUUCCAUUGUUGGUUUUGAUGGGAACAAUCCUAGUGAUGCUAGUGUUGCAGCAAAGGUUUCCAUGGAUAGGAUUGGUACUUGGACAGAUUCGGAGACGCUAUAUGCAUCAGCUGCAAACAAGGAUUAUUUGUCUGUCAAAUUACUUGAGGUGGUAAGAAAGGGGUGCAAUACAUACUGGUUAUUAGAACUCAUAACUAAUGAGCUGAAUCCUUGGUGUUUACUCAGAUAUCAGAGGUGGCUAGAAAUUCUGGUGCUCCCACCUUUAACUAGAGCUGCGUGGACAGUACAAGGGAAGAUAGAACAUAACAUUAGUGGGGACAUAAUUUCAGCACCUCAAGUUAUCAAGUCUCUCUGUCUAAACAGGUCAUCUAUUAGGAGUUACUCAAGUUAUUUUCUCCUGAUACAUGCUCUGGUCAGUAAAUUGAGAGCUUGGGAAGCAUUGGUGGAAGACCAUGUGAUGCACUCCAAAGAUAGCAAAGUAUUGUUGAUGCCUUGGGAUCCAGGAGGAAUAAUUUGCAUCAGCUUGAGGGCAAGCUGAAUGUUAAGAAGAGGGGAUUGUCAAGAGCACAGUUGGGCUGAAUAUGGGCUAAAUUAGCCACGCUCCAACCCAGGCCCAAGCAAGCACAACCAAUAGCAUAUAUGAGCAACACCAGCAACGAGGGGCAUCCAUCGAACAAAUCGAUCAAUCGGCGAACGGCGAACGGCGGCGGCGACUUGGUGGCCGGUUGGCACCUUGUUGAUCUUCCUCCUCCCUACCUUCCUUCUUCCUCUACCUUCUAGAAGUUUCUAGCAUCUUCCUCCACUUGUAUUCCCUUAGUUCAUCCUCGUUUUCCACCUCUAUGUACUGGAGUUUGGUUGCUAUUGCACUGGAUGCUUGCAAAUUUGAGUGGUAUUGAGAUUGGAGUUUGGGGUUC
RNAcentral lists this long non-coding RNA (2918 nucleotides) under Oryza sativa aromatic subgroup. RNAcentral describes it as "lncRNA OsARC_02g0031890". The record is from RNAcentral. Lineage: Eukaryota; Viridiplantae; Streptophyta; Magnoliopsida; Poales; Poaceae.